Non-coding RNA from Bombyx mori (domestic silkworm), 88 nucleotides. Lineage: Eukaryota; Metazoa; Arthropoda; Insecta; Lepidoptera; Bombycidae. The record is from Rfam.
UUAACUCAAAUUUGUAUGGAGUUGGAACGUUUGCCUACGUUUGCCGCUAGGGGCGCUGUUCCACUGAUCUGCAUACAAAUUUGAUUUA